Molecule: ribosomal RNA, 252 nt
Filed under: uncultured bacterium
Lineage: Bacteria
Description: partial 16S ribosomal RNA
Rfam family: Bacterial small subunit ribosomal RNA
Source: RNAcentral
UACGUAGGGUGCAAGCGUUAAUCGGAAUUACUGGGCGUAAAGCGUGCGCGGCGGUUAUGUAAGACAGAUGUGAAAUCCCCGGGCUCAACCUGGGAACUGCAUCUGUGACUGUAUAGCUAGAGUACGGUAGAGGGGGAUGGAAUUCCGCGUGUAGCAGUGAAAUGCGUAGAUAUGCGGAGGAACACCGAUGGCGAAGGCAAUCCCCUGGACCUGUACUGACGCUCAUGCACGAAAGCGUGGGGAGCAAACAGG